GACUAACGCUGGCGGCGUGCCUAACACAUGCAAGUCGAACGAAGCAGCAAUGCUUAGUGGCAGACGGGUGAGUAACGCGUAGAUAAUGUGCCCUCUUGCGGGGGAUACCGUUUCGAAAGGAACGUUAAUACCGCAUAAAGUCCUUAGAAGGCAUCUUUUAGGGACCAAGCUUCCGGGGCGGGAGGAGCAAUCUGCGUACUAUCAGCUAGUUGGUGAGGUAAUGGCUCACCAAGGCUACGACGGUUAACUGGUCUGAGAGGAUGAUCAGUCACACUGGAACUGAGACACGGUCCAGACUCCUACGGGAGGCAGCAGUGAGGAAUAUUGCACAAUGGGCGAAAGCCUGAUGCAGCGACGCCGCGUGGAGGAUGAAGGGAUUUCGGUCUGUAAACUCCUGUCAGUAAGGAAGAGAAUGGACGGUACCUACUGAGGAAGCUUCGGCUAACUACGUG
This 452-nucleotide ribosomal RNA is filed under the name uncultured bacterium. Its description in RNAcentral is "bacterial SSU rRNA". It matches the Rfam family "Bacterial small subunit ribosomal RNA", at positions 28 to 507 of the family's 1533-position model. The record is from RNAcentral.